The sequence is a ribosomal RNA, 1289 nucleotides long. It matches the Rfam family "Bacterial small subunit ribosomal RNA", at positions 147 to 1432 of the family's 1533-position model.
CAAUUGGAAACAGUUGCUAAGACUGGAUAGGAAAUUAAAAGGCAUCUUUUAAUUUUUAAAAGACCUUUUUCGGAAGGUAUGCUUAAAGAGGGGCUUGCGCCACAUUAGUUAGUUGGUAAGGUAAAGGCUUACCAAGACGAUGAUGUGUAGCUGGACUGAGAGGUUGAACAGCCACAUUGGGACUGAGACACGGCCCAAACUCCUACGGGAGGCAGCAGUAAGGAAUUUUUGGCAAUGGAGGAAACUCUGACCGAGCGACGCCGCGUGAACAAUGAAGUACUUCGGUAUGUAAAGUUCUUUUAUUGAAAAAGAAAAAAUAGUGGAAAAACUAUCUUGACAUUAUUCAAUGAAUAAGCCCCGGCUAAUUAUGUGCCAGCAGCCGCGGUAAUACAUAAGGGGCGAGCGUUAUCCGGAAUUAUUGGGCGUAAAGGGUGCGUAGGCGGUUUGAUAAGUCUAUAGUUUAAUUGCAGUGCUUAACGCUGUACCGCUAUAGAAACUGUCUGACUAGAGUUAGAUAGAGGCAAGCGGAAUUCCAUGUGUAGCGGUAAAAUGCGUAAAUAUAUGGAGGAACACCAGAGGCGUAGGCGGCUUGCUGGGUCUUAACUGACGCUGAGGCACGAAAGCGUGGGGAGCAAACAGGAUUAGAUACCCUGGUAGUCCACGCCGUAAACGAUGAGUACUAAGUGUCGGGUUUUGGCUCGGUACUGAAGUUAACACAUUAAGUACUCCGCCUGAGUAGUACGUACGCAAGUAUGAAACUUAAAGGAAUUGACGGGACCCCGCACAAGCGGUGGAUCAUGUUGUUUAAUUCGAAGAUACACGAAAAACCUUACCAGGUCUUGACAUAAUUUUGCGACAUUAUAGAAAUAUAAUGAAGGUUAUCAGAAUUACAGGUGGUGCAUGGUUGUCGUCAGCUCGUGUCGUGAGAUGUUAGGUUAAGUCCUAAAACGAGCGCAACCCUUGUCGUUAGUUGCGACCACAUAAUGGUGAGCACUUUAGCGAGACUGCCAAUGAAAAAUUGGAGGAAGGUGAGGAUUACGUCAAAUCAUCAUGCCCCUUAUGAUCUGGGCUACAAACGUGAUACAAUGGCUUUUACAAAGAGUAGCUACAACGUGAGUUUUUAGCCAAUCUCAAAAAAACAGUCUCAGUUCGGAUUGAAGUCUGCAACUCGACUUCAUGAAGUUGGAAUCGCUAGUAAUCGCGAAUCAGCAUGUCGCGGUGAAUACGUUCUCGGGGUUUGUACACACCGCCCGUCAAACCACGAAAGUUGAUAAUACCCAAAACCGGUC